This 449-nucleotide ribosomal RNA is filed under the name uncultured bacterium. Its description in RNAcentral is "bacterial SSU rRNA". It matches the Rfam family "Bacterial small subunit ribosomal RNA", at positions 329 to 792 of the family's 1533-position model. The record is from RNAcentral.
GGCCAGACUCCUACGGGAGGCAGCAGUGGGGAAUAUUGGGCAAUGGGCGCAAGCCUGACCCAGCAACGCCGCGUGAAGGAAGAAGGCCCUCGGGUUGUAAACUUCUUUUAUCAGGGACGAAACAAAUGACGGUACCUGAUGAAUAAGCCACGGCUAACUACGUGCCAGCAGCCGCGGUAAUACGUAGGUGGCCAGCGUUAUCCGGAUUUACUGGGUGUAAAGGGCGUGUAGGCGGGUCUGCAAGUCAGAUGUGAAAUCUCAUGGCUCAACCAUGGAACUGCAUUUGAAACUGUAGAUCUUGAGUGAUGGAGAGGCAGGCGGAAUUCCGUGUGUAGCGGUGAAAUGCGUAGAUAUCGGGAGGAACAUCAGUGGCGAAGGCGACUAUCUGGCACAUAACUGACGCUGAGGAGCGAAAGCGUGGGUAGCAAACAGGAUUAGAUACCCCUGUA